UACAGAGGCCCCAAGCAUUAUCCGGAUUUACUGGGCGUAAAGGGUGCGUAGGCGGUGUUAUUAGUCGGGUGUUAAAUCCUGGGGCUCAACCUCAGAAUCGCAUUCGAAACGGUAACACUAGAAGAAGUCAGAGGUAAACAGAACUCUCGGUGUAGGGGUGAAAUCCGUUGAUAUCGAGGGGAAUACCAAAUGCGAAGGCAGUUUACUGGGACUUUCUUGACGCUGAGGCACGAAAGCGUGGGUAGCGAAUCGG
RNAcentral lists this ribosomal RNA (253 nucleotides) under uncultured bacterium. RNAcentral describes it as "partial 16S ribosomal RNA". It matches the Rfam family "Bacterial small subunit ribosomal RNA", at positions 524 to 776 of the family's 1533-position model. The record is from RNAcentral.